CCACAGACCACUUCCUGGAGGUCAAGCUGAGUCCUACAACACACGCUUCUUCCACAUCAAGGAGGACUUCGCCUACACAGAGGUUAACGGCAGGAAGUUGUACCAGCCAGAUGAUGGGGUGCAGCUGACGGUGAUGGACGGCCAUGACGGGAGACUGGUGGAGAGCAAAGGCUUCAGGAACUCCAUACUGCAGGGUGUACCUGCCCAGAUAGAGAGCUAUGUUAACAACCUGACAGACCACUCUAUCGUCAUAAUAACGUCUAAGGGUCGCCUGGUAACUCGGGGCCCCUGGACCAGAAUACUGGAACUCCUCGGGCUGACAAGACCCUC
Long non-coding RNA from Oncorhynchus gorbuscha (pink salmon), 330 nucleotides. RefSeq lists it as uncharacterized. The transcript has 3 exons. The record is from RefSeq and is a predicted model, not a curated record. Lineage: Eukaryota; Metazoa; Chordata; Actinopteri; Salmoniformes; Salmonidae.